UUGACGGAGAGUUUGAUCCUGGCUCAGGACGAACGCUGGCGGCGUGCCUAACACAUGCAAGUCGAACGAGGUCGCCUUCGGGCAAUGACCAAGUGGCGAACGGGUGCGUAACACGUGAGGAACCUGCCCCGAAGACUGGGACAACCAUGGGAAACCGUGGCUAAUACCAGAUGCCUUCCUCUGAUCGCAUGAUCGGAAGAGGAAAUGCUCCGGCGCUUCGGGAGGGCCUCGCGGCCUAUCAGCUUGUUGGUGAGGUAAUGGCUCACCAAGGCAUUGACGGGUAGCUGGUCUGAGAGGACGAUCAGCCACACUGGGACUGAGACACGGCCCAGACUCCUGCGGGAGGCAGCAGUGGGGAAUCUUGCGCAAUGGGCGAAAGCCUGACGCAGCAACGCCGCGUGGGGGAUGAAGGCUCUCGGGUUGUAAACCCCUUUCAGCAGGGACGAAAUUGACGGUACCUGCAGAAGAAGCCCCGGCCAACUACGUGCCAGCAGCCGCGGUGACACGUAGGGGGCGAGCGUUGUCCGGAAUUAUUGGGCGUAAAGAGCUCGUAGGCGGUUUAGUAAGUCAGAUGUGAAAGGUUGGGGCUUAACCCCAAGACUGCAUCCGAUACUGCUAUGACUAGAGUCCGGUAGAGGAGUGUGGAAUUCCUGGUGUAGCGGUGAAAUGCGCAGAUAUCAGGAGGAACACCAACGGC
This 697-nucleotide ribosomal RNA is filed under the name Acidimicrobiia bacterium. RNAcentral describes it as "bacterial SSU rRNA". It matches the Rfam family "Bacterial small subunit ribosomal RNA", at positions 1 to 716 of the family's 1533-position model. The record is from RNAcentral. Lineage: Bacteria; Bacillati; Actinomycetota; Acidimicrobiia.